RNAcentral lists this unclassified non-coding RNA (343 nucleotides) under soil metagenome. RNAcentral's name for it is "partial contains 5.8S ribosomal RNA, internal transcribed spacer 2, and large subunit ribosomal RNA". The stretch from base 1 to 120 matches the Rfam family "5.8S ribosomal RNA", at positions 35 to 154 of the family's 154-position model. The record is from RNAcentral.
GAUGAAGAACGUAGCGAAAUGCGAUAAGUAAUGUGAAUUGCGGAAUUCAGUGAAUCAUCGAAUCUUUGAACGCACAUUGCGCCCGCUAGUAUUCUGGCGGGCAUGCCUGUCCGAGCGUCAUUUCAACCCUCAAGCCCCCGGGCUUGGUGUUGGGGAUCGGCGAGCCUCCGCGCCCGCCGUCCCCUAAAUCUAGUGGCGGUCUCGCUGUAGCUUCCUCUGCGUAGUAGCACACCUCGCACUGGGAAACAGCGCGGCCACGCCGUUAAACCCCCAACUUCUGAACGUUUGACCUCGGAUCAGGUAGGAAUACCCGCUGAACUUAAGCAUAUCAAUCAGCGGAGGA